GACACGCUGGCGGCGUGGAUUAGGCAUGCAAGUCGAACGGUAUCAUCCUUUCGGGGGUGAGAGAGUGGCGAACUGGUGAGUAACACGUAGGUUAUCUACCCUCAAGACGGGGACAACCCAGGGAAACUUGGGCUAAUACCGGAUGUGAGCAACUUUUAGUGUUUGAAAGGUGGCGUAAGCUGUCGCUUGGGGAUGAGCCUGCGUCCUAUUAGUUAGUUGGUGAGGUAACGGCUCACCUAGGCAAUGAUAGGUAGGCGGCCUUAACGGGUGGUCGCCCACACUGGGAUUGAGAUACGGCCCAGACUCCUACGGGAGGCAGCAGUCGAGAAUAGUCUACAAUGGUCGGAAGACUGAUAGUGCGACGCCGCGUGAACGAUGAAUCCCUUCGGGGUGUAAAGUUCUUUUAUAUGUGAGCAGUGCUUCUUAUAUUAACAGUAUGGGGAGAGAGAUAUUAGCAUAUGAAUAAGCAACGGCUAACUCCGUG
This 484-nucleotide ribosomal RNA is filed under the name uncultured bacterium. Its description in RNAcentral is "bacterial SSU rRNA". It matches the Rfam family "Bacterial small subunit ribosomal RNA", at positions 33 to 507 of the family's 1533-position model. The record is from RNAcentral.